Long non-coding RNA from Gigantopelta aegis, 1161 nucleotides. RefSeq lists it as uncharacterized. The transcript has 3 exons. The record is from RefSeq and is a predicted model, not a curated record. NCBI's taxonomy places the organism in Eukaryota, Metazoa, Mollusca, Gastropoda, Neomphalida, Peltospiridae.
CUAGCCAUGCUGUAUUCAUGCUGUAUGUCUCACACCCACCCACCACCACUUUUUUUUUUUUUUUACCAGAUUGUGUGAAAAUAGGCACAAAAACCAAAUUAAAAUGAAUUGAUAUUACUAUAACAGAUUGUGCCCCCCCCCCCCCCCCUUUCCUUUCAGGUAUCAUUACUUUUGGUCUAUUAUUUAUUAAGAUUGAUUUUUUUUUUGAUUUUUUUUUAAUAUGAAUUUUCACACACAUAAUAAUAAAAAUGUUAGUUUUUUUGUUAAAUCACAAGGAAGAAAAAUAUAGUAAGCUGGUGUAUCACUCCCAUCCCUGGUUCUCACAAAUCCAUUUAUAGAAACAACAACAAAAAUUUAAAAAAAAAAAAAAAAAAAAAAAAAUUCGGGGGGGGGGGGGGGGGGUCGAAUUGUUCAUGAUGGGAUCAUCACAUAUUUUUUGAAAAAAAUACCCACACCUUUAGGUAACGUUAUCUUUAUUCGCUAGAAAAAAUAUGAGCUUUGGUAUUAUAAAAAAAAAAAAAAAAAAAAAAAAAAAAAAAUGGUAAUGCCAUACGCCAUAUGCAGAGUAAUAAUUUAUAAUGCUUAAUAGACAGAAGGCCACAAAGGCGUUAGAUUAGUACAUAAUUAUGAUAAUAAUAAUAAUAAUAAUUAUUAUUAUUAUUAUUAUUAUAAGUCAGUGUCGUCUUAAAAGACGAACGAAGGUUAAAAGCGAUAAUAUGAUUGGUCGGUUCCUAAACAGUCAUACCUGGGAUUUGAUUGGCUUAGAGAUAACACCAGGAAAAAACGCGCCAUUUGCAGUUUGCCAAAAUAAAUUUAAUAAUAAAUAAUGACAAAACAUUGUGUAUUUUGCAUUAUGAAUUGGAUUUGAGAUCAUUUUGAUUGAGCAGAAACAAUCACAGUUUAUUACCGAAUACUUGGCUAUGGCGGAAAAUGAAGAACUUCGAUCAAGUUUCGGAUGUCCUACUAUUUUCGUCACGUUUGGAAGGAAAAAAAGAAAAAUCGUCAGCACAUUCUGGUCAUCAUAUUAUGGAAAUAUUUGUGACUGAAUCCCAUCUGAAUGUUGGAUGACAUAUAUCAAGAUGACACUGAACAGGACAACUGAGGAAAAUGGAUGUGAAAUAAUCCAAUCUAACAGUUGGAAAUAAAUAUAUAUAGUAUUUA